Molecule: long non-coding RNA, 2292 nt
Organism: Cavia porcellus (domestic guinea pig)
Lineage: Eukaryota; Metazoa; Chordata; Mammalia; Rodentia; Caviidae
Exons: 2
Source: RefSeq, a predicted model, not a curated record
UGGGGGCUCGGAAGGGGAUCGCGGCGGGAGGGGCGCACGCUAGAAGUCAUUAGCCUUAAGAACGUUUAUUUAAAAAAAAAAUCUCCUCCCCCACCCCUUUUGUCCCUCUUUCGCGAGCUUUCUCCACGCUCCUCUCUAAAGUACCCAAAGUGCCCCCGCCCUCGCGCCCCACCCCGCCUCUAGGCCGGGGGCAGCGCCUGGGCCGAGGACCCGGGGCUAGGGGCGCAGCGUGAGAACCCGCUCCCGGCGCGCGCCCCGCCCCUUGCGCACACUCGGGAAGUUUAAAGAGCCGGUUCGACCCGCUUUCGAUCUCGCUCCCGGUUGGCCAGCAGUGUCGCUCGGGUUCGCAGGGCAAACGCGCCCGCACACUCGUCGGGCGCGACCCCGGCCCCUCCCGGGCGCGCUUCCCCUCCCCCUUGGCGCGGGGGGCUUCCGGAAAGUACGCGGGAACAUCGCGGGCGCCCCUCCCCCGGCACCACACCCAGCCCCCAACGCUUGCUCGUAAUGGGGCGCAGCUAUCGGGGUCCACGGAAACUCCAGCGGGCGCCACGGCGCCCCCUCCGCGCCCCGAGAGCCACGAGGCGCUCGCACGUCUACAGUGCACAGCUGCCUUAGGAAGGGGGUUGGGAACGGCGACAAAAAGGAUCUUGUUUUCGAAAGUCUCGAUCAGGUCUGGAGGAGGAACUAGGGGAAAGAGGAAGAAGCCGGCCUGCUUCGGCCGGAGAAUCGGGGCUUCCAGGCUGGAAGGGCGACGAUCGGCGCGCGCUGCUCCCCAAACUCCAGGCCACUCCAGCCAUCGAGGCUGAGGGGUGCUUCCCGACCGCCCGUCCCUGGUUCCCGCGAGGGACCCACGGGAACUCGGCCGGCAUCUCCAAAGACCCAGGGGCCGCCAACUCGCAGAAAACACGCGCGUUGGGAAACGAGAGGGAGCCAGAAAUAAAAAGCAGCGUUCAAGUCACCACCGUCUGCGGCCCCUCCGCGGCGGUGGGCUCUCACGUCCCCACCCGCAGGCUCCCGCGCCGGCGGAAUUCAAUCAAUAAACCCCGAACCCACGGCCGCGCGUUUUAGGACUUUGAAGGUUCAACCAGCUCCGCUCGGUUCUCGAGCCCCCAGCACCCGCGGCGCACACUAACCUGAUCACCGUGGAGGCGGGAUCUGCGGCCUGGCGGAAGAACGGCAGCAGCUUCAACCAAUCGUCGCCGAGAGUGUCCGCACAACAGCCAGUGGUGGUGGCGGCGGGUGGGGAGGAAGGGUCCAAUGGGCGGGCUGCGCAGCCGGCCUGGGAGGCUCAGCCAUUUGGUUGUGGUGCCGGAGACUGAGCCCUUUAGAUUUUUGAGGCGGCCGAGAAGCGCGGCGGUGGCGGCGGCAGCGGCUCCGUCGGCUGAGCGCGGGGGGUGGGCGGAAUGGCAGGAGAAGGGAAGGUGACGGUCUAGAGGGCCGAGCUGCCCGGCCUCGGCGUUUGGCUGGGGGCGGGCCCGCAGGUGCGUUCCCGCUGGGGAGGGGCGCGGCCGGAGGGGUCGGGUAGGUCCCCGCCGGGCGAGGCUCGUGGGCCGCGGGCCGGGCUGCGGAAGGCGGCGGCGGGGGCCGCGGCGGGUGAUAAGGGGCCCUGGCAGUGGGGGCGGGGCCUAGAAAGGGGAGGCAGCGGAGGAGACUAGGUCGGGGGGUGGGGGGGAUCGCGCCAGGAGAACGCCGCUGUCUCCCGCCUCCGCGACGACCCCCGCCACCCCCCAGGGGCAUCCGAGCCCGGCCUCCACCGUCGCCGCCUCCAGAAUAAGUAAAUAAAAACGAGGUGCUUCCACCUUUGGGUAACUUAGCGCGGCCUUGCCCCACGGAGAGGGCAUUUCAUUUUGCUGUCUUUUUUUUUUUUUUUUUGGCCACUUUGCGAGGAGCGAUUGCCCACGGGCACCCAGGAUCGCAUUUAGGCGAUACAGGAAGAACUGGACUAAGAACUGUUGCUGAAUGUAGAAUCUGAAAAUGGAAAAGAAAAAUGCUAUACCAAUAACGCCCGUUUUCCCCACCAUGUAGACCUAGUGAAGGAACGUCAGAGUUUAUUCUAAUUAUCCACCUGAGUCAUUAGGUUCGAUCGGAGCUGCCAGGGAGACUAGUGGCUCUAGUAUGUUCAGGUUUUUUGGUUUGCUUUUUUUUUUUUUUAAUCACAAUAUAUUCUUUAAAAAAAAACCUUAAAGCCCUGUUUCCUCUGGUUACCAACUUAUGGCUGGCUAAUCUAGGACCUUGUCAUGUCAUCAGUGGGCUGCCUGUGGCUGUUAAUAAAUCACUGGGAUGGUUGUCAAA